CUUGCCUGGGAGGAAUUAACUGAGCCCUUCCGUGAAGAGCUGCCAACCAUCAAAAUAAAGCAUUCCCAGCCUGCCAGAUUCUCAUGGAGGGAAAUUACAAGUCCUAGUAAUUAUCAUCACGGGGAGCUCGGAGUUAACACAGAAUCUCUCUCUUUUUUAAUCGCAGGUGAUUGAUGCGAGCAGUGCAGCUUCCCUGGUGCUUUCAGGACAACAAAGAACAAGUGGAACUUGGCGCGCCGAGUGCCUUCGCUGAGGGUGGCGUGCCGUGGGGUGUUGUUCAGAUGCGGAUGCGGUACUCAAACCCACAUCGACACAAGGGCUUGUAUGAAACACUCACACGUGUGUAGCUCACACAUGUCCACAUGCACAAUUGCAUAUACCCACAUUUAUUCCUCCGUACUCAGGACUGCUCAGGAGCAAUGCUGUACUUAGCAGAGGGUGCUGGACACCGUGUGUGCACAGCAGAUGCCCAUUGGGAACUCUGAAAAGCAAACCAAUGAGCCCUGCUGAGGGCUUCUCUGUACUUCAUCCUCCAUCUUCACCGAGUCGGCCGUGCCCAGCAGAAACAAGAGUUGCAUCAAUGGAUAUCACGUUGGCUAAGUGCUCUGGGAGGGAGGGAGAUUUCAUCUGCUGGAAAAGUGGGGACGGCUUAACUUUGGUGAUAUUUGGGUUGGACCUUGGAGGAUGGGAGGAAGUCAAAACAGAAACUUGGGAGGGGAGAGAGGCAAAGGAAACAGAGGUUUGAAGAUGUCUGCACAAAGGCAAAUCAAUGGUUUGACUCGGGGAUUAGGGGCUUGAUAUUGGGAGGGAUGGGGAGGAUAGAGAAGCAUCCCUGUUGAAGCCAGAGGAGAAGGUGGUGCCGGUCACACAGAGCCCUGAACAGCCUGCAGAGGAAUUUGAGCCUUACUCUGUGGGGCAAUUGGGAGCUAAGAAAGGCAGCUUCACACAGAACAAGGCUGGCUAGUCUUGGGUCUGCGGUUGUCACUGAGUAGCAGGGAUUGUGGCAGCAUGGAGGUACAGGAGGUAGGUGGCAGGGGCAUGCCCACAUAACAGUCAUGCCCAUUUAUAUUAAUUAACACUAAAUUAGCACUCUGAUGGAGAUGGCCCUCUGGCCCAGGGGGCCCUUUGGCAGAUCCAUUUCUUUUCCUCUGUCACUUUGGAAAUGUACAUGAAAGUGAUUGAGGAUAACUGCUCCAAAUCAUCGCUGUCCAGUCAAGAAUAUGUCUGGGGAACCCCAGGAGUCCUUAGCCCCUCAGUUUGAGAAAUACUGUCCUAGCUACUGUGCUAUUCCCCUCAGCUUACAAAGGCCACCAGAGAACUUCAGAUAUAUAUUGUAGUUUUUGAAUCCAGGCCAAACUGAUUUCACCAAAUUGCUUUUGCAGUUAUGUCACUGGCCACAUCAAGGGGCCUUAUAAAGAGGCUAAAAAGAUCCUAUUGAGAAUGUGCUUGUACCAUGCCAGCAUUCCGUCUCUUUAAAGACCUAAGUGAGAAAUGUCUCAGGCCUUAGAACCAAGAAGAGUUGAUCCUUUCCUGAAAACUGGUCUUUUCUUACCAUAUCUAUGCUCUUGGUCUCAAAACUAAUCACAUUUUCCUCUUUGCAUUGGCUAGCAGGAAGCUCAGAAGCAAAAAUGUGGCCCAACUUUAACAAAGCGUAUAGGAUCUUAUCAUGCAAGUUGGAGGCUAAUUUUAUUCUAGUGUCCCCACUUUACUCUUCAUUCUCAUCCAAUUUCUUUGCUUAAAUCUUUACAGUCCUAUGCCAAAUUUAUUUUUGUAA
Long non-coding RNA from Aotus nancymaae (Ma's night monkey), 1774 nucleotides. The record is from Ensembl. NCBI's taxonomy places the organism in Eukaryota, Metazoa, Chordata, Mammalia, Primates, Aotidae.